GAGUUUGAUCAUGGCUCAGAUUGAACGCUGGCGGCAUGCCUUACACAUGCAAGUCGAACGGCAGCAUGAUCUAGCUUGCUAGAUUGAUGGCGAGUGGCGAACGGGUGAGUAAUACAUCGGAACGUGCCCUGUAGUGGGGGAUAACUAGUCGAAAGAUUAGCUAAUACCGCAUACGACCUGAGGGUGAAAGUGGGGGACCGCAAGGCCUCAUGCUAUAGGAGCGGCCGAUGUCUGAUUAGCUAGUUGGUGGGGUAAAGGCCCACCAAGGCGACGAUCAGUAGCUGGUCUGAGAGGACGAUCAGCCACACUGGGACUGAGACACGGCCCAGACUCCUACGGGAGGCAGCAGUGGGGAAUUUUGGACAAUGGGCGAAAGCCUGAUCCAGCAAUGCCGCGUGUGUGAAGAAGGCCUCGGUGUAAG
RNAcentral lists this ribosomal RNA (421 nucleotides) under uncultured microorganism. RNAcentral's name for it is "bacterial SSU rRNA". It matches the Rfam family "Bacterial small subunit ribosomal RNA", at positions 9 to 429 of the family's 1533-position model. The record is from RNAcentral.